Molecule: ribosomal RNA, 257 nt
Filed under: uncultured bacterium
Lineage: Bacteria
Description: partial 16S ribosomal RNA
Rfam family: Bacterial small subunit ribosomal RNA
Source: RNAcentral
UACGUAGGGUCCAAGCGUUAUCCGGAAUCACUGGGCGUAAAGCGUGCGUAGGCGGCGUGUUAAGUGUGAUGUUAAAAUCGUGUGGCUCAACCAUAUCGAUGCAUCGCAUACUGGCAUGCUAGAGGAAGGCAGAGGCAAGUGGAAUUGGUAGUGUAGCAGUGAAAUGCGUAGAGAUUACCAGGAACACCAAUGGCGAAGGCAGCUUGCUGGGCCUUUUUCUGACGCUGAGGUACGAAAAGCGUGGGGGAGCGAACAGG